UCUACUGUUUUCUAUGCUCUCUGUCUCUGCAUCAUAAAAUGAGUGUCCGCCGUAAAAGUCGCGAUCUUUUACGCAUAUUUUAAGCUUCCAUUCGUCUUCUAGGUUUGUAAUGAAGUAGUUUUUAAUCCAAGUUAUGCUACCCCCUCCAUAUGAAACAAAAACAUCAAAUCUGUAAUUUUUACCGUAUUUCUUUUCAACAAUUUUUUGGAGUAUGCGGUAAAACAAUAUAGCUAUGUUCCAU
Molecule: long non-coding RNA, 241 nt
Filed under: Mytilus galloprovincialis (Mediterranean mussel)
Lineage: Eukaryota; Metazoa; Mollusca; Bivalvia; Mytilida; Mytilidae
Source: RNAcentral